RNAcentral lists this long non-coding RNA (2024 nucleotides) under Zea mays. RNAcentral's name for it is "long non-coding RNA (ZMAY_LNC004748)". The record is from RNAcentral. Lineage: Eukaryota; Viridiplantae; Streptophyta; Magnoliopsida; Poales; Poaceae.
UUCUUUCCCAAAGCAAAGAUCAGGUGCCUGCGUCAGACAAUGCAAGAGUGAGAUGACACAUCUCAGCAAGUAAAAAAACAAACAACAGUUGGACAAUGCAAGCCAACCGUGCAUAAGCAACCACAUGGUUCCCAACUUCUUCCUUAAAUAUUAAUUUGCAGCAAGUAAGCAAGUAAUCAAUUACUCAAUGCCAAGAUGAAUUACAAAGUAAAGAUCCACCUUAUCCACAUCACCAAAAUAGGUUCCACACUUCACCCAUGAAUGCACAUGGCUACAGAUGCAACAUGACUUCUGCCUUCAUACCUCUAAGGAUAUGAAGCUGCAUCAUACCCCUUCUCGGGAAACAUAUGAUGCUCAUUGUACCGGUACGGUCGGACCAUAAGAUCGCGACGAAAACUUCAAUGCAAUGGAUGAUGAAUGCAUUAUGCAUGUCAACAACAUGAGUUCUUCCCAAAUAAAAUGUGCUAGACAUAUACUUCCACCCAUUUCACAUCAAUAACCACAUGGGUAACAUGAUCAAACCACACCCUCCACAUAUAUAAUCAAUAAAGCAUGAAUAAUUUCAAACGAUGGUACUCAAUUAGGAAUAUGGAUACGACCACAAAUAGCACAAACAUAAUCAAGUAUGAGACUCUUCAAUCAAAAGACGAAAUAACCAUCACUGUUUUACUUGCCUUUACCGAAGUUCGGGCAAAAAUCCCUAAGAACGAUCCGGAAGUCCACCACCUGUUUUUGACACCCAACUUAGUGCACCAAAUUCUCAUGAAAAAAACUCAAAGACAACACCGCACCUACGCGCAAUCUCAAACCCCGCCGCGGUAACAAUUCUCCCCUCACUAACCAAACUGCAGCGGCGCUGCUUAACAAUUCCAUAACUCAAAAUUUAGGACAGCAGUGAUGAUAAACAAAAACUUCAGAGACAACUACAUAAAAUUCCCCACAAGUUUUGUAUACAACUCAUGAUUGAAUUUUAACAUCUACUUACCUCUAAACGGUCCUCAAAAUAAACCCUGCAAUCUGUUUUUUUUUCUGAUUUGAGCAGCGACAUACGCGGAUUCAAACAGCGAUAACUUUUAAAAUAUAAUUCCGAUUUGAGCGCAUAAGUACUUGUUGGAAAGAUAAGAAAAAGCCCUACAUGAUUCUCAUACUGAUUAACACUAAUUACUCCCGAAACAUCCCCAGAAACUGCUAACACUGCUGCUGUUCAUCACUCUGAAAAAUCUGUUUUCUCGACAGCCACAUACCCGGAUUCAAACGAUGAUAACUUUUAAUUUAUAACUCCAAAUUGAGCGCAUAAAUACUCGUUGGAAAGAUAAAACAAAGUUCUACAAGAUUCUCAUACUGAUUAACACUAAUUGCUCCCGAAAAAUCCCCAGAAACUGCUAACACUGCUGCUGUUCAUCACUCUGAAAAAUCUGUUUUUUGGACAGCCACAUACCCGGAUUCAAACGAUGAUAACUUUUAAAUUAUAACUCCAAAUUGAGCGCAUAAAUACUCGUUGGAAAGAUAAAACAAAGUUCUACAAGAUUCCCAAAUUGAUCCCCAUUAAAUCUUCACGAAAAAAACUAAAAACUGCUGGAACUACCGCUGUUCAUCCACCACGCAAAAUUCUGGACAGCCCCCCUCUAUCUAAUCGCAAACGCAACAUCUAAUCAAUUGAAUCGCAGCGCAAAUGAACAAGGGAUGAACACAAAAGAAAAAUCACCUUGGGUUCUCCCCUUUUUCUUCCUCCCUUCUUCCUUCCACCAAAACGAUUGGAGAUUCGCACCAAAAGACGAUGAUCCGAGCGGCACGGAGUAGCACCUAGGGAGGAGGGGAUUGGGGGGGGCGGCUAGGGUUUUGGUGGCUGCAACAAUGGAGGGAUGAGGAGGUGGGCAGGGGGGGCUGCGGCCAAGGGGAAAGGAGGAGUGGGGGGGGCGGCUGCACAUGGGGGGGGGGGUAGUUAGGAGGGUGGCGGCUAGGGUUUGGGAGGGCUAAUGGGCUGAAACACCAAUUGCGGCCCAACUAACCCACACGACAGCUCC